Molecule: ribosomal RNA, 253 nt
Filed under: uncultured bacterium
Lineage: Bacteria
Description: partial 16S ribosomal RNA
Rfam family: Bacterial small subunit ribosomal RNA
Source: RNAcentral
UACGAAGGGGGCUAGCGUUGUUCGGAAUUACUGGGCGUAAAGGGCGCGUAGGCGGUGUGUCGCGUCUGCUGUGAAAACUCAGGGCUUAACCCUGAGCUUGCAGUGGGUACGGGCAGACUAGAGUGCGGUAGGGGAGACUGGAGUUCCUGGUGUAGCGGUGAAAUGCGCAGAUAUCAGGAGGAACACCGGUGGCGAAGGCGGGUCUCUGGGCCGUAACUGACGCUGAGGAGCGAAAGCAUGGGGAGCGAACAGG